This 528-nucleotide ribosomal RNA is filed under the name Streptococcus sp. oral clone BP2-62. RNAcentral's name for it is "bacterial SSU rRNA". It matches the Rfam family "Bacterial small subunit ribosomal RNA", at positions 8 to 521 of the family's 1533-position model. The record is from RNAcentral. Lineage: Bacteria; Bacillati; Bacillota; Bacilli; Lactobacillales; Streptococcaceae.
AGAGUUGAUCCUGGCUCAGGACGAACGCUGGCGGCGUGCCUAAUACAUGCAAGUAGAACGCUGAAGGAGGAGCUUGCUUCUCUGGAUGAGUUGCGAACGGGUGAGUAACGCGUAGGUAACCUGCCUGGUAGCGGGGGAUAACUAUUGGAAACGAUAGCUAAUACCGCAUAAUAGCAGUUAUUGCAUGAUAACUGUUUGAAAGGUGCAAUUGCACCACUACCAGAUGGACCUGCGUUGUAUUAGCUAGUCGGUGGGGUAACGGCUCACCAAGGCGACGAUACAUAGCCGACCUGAGAGGGUGAUCGGCCACACUGGGACUGAGACACGGCCCAGACUCCUACGGGAGGCAGCAGUAGGGAAUCUUCGGCAAUGGACGGAAGUCUGACCGAGCAACGCCGCGUGAGUGAAGAAGGUUUUCGGAUCGUAAAGCUCUGUUGUAAGAGAAGAACGAGUGUGAGAGUGGAAAGUUCACACUGUGACGGUAUCUUACCAGAAAGGGACGGCUAACUACGUGCCAGCAGCCGCGGU